UUUUUAAAUCAGGGGUGCUUACAUUAGUAAGCUGAGAAUAUACCCUUUGAACUUGACCUGGCUAAUACCAGCGUAAGGAGGAAAUAUGGAACAGAUC
RNAcentral lists this non-coding RNA (97 nucleotides) under Coxiella sp. (in: g-proteobacteria). RNAcentral's name for it is "Coxiella sp. TPP sequence". It matches the Rfam family "TPP riboswitch aptamer (THI element)". From Rfam's summary of the family: Vitamin B(1) in its active form thiamin pyrophosphate (TPP) is an essential coenzyme that is synthesised by coupling of pyrimidine and thiazole moieties in bacteria. Lineage: Bacteria; Pseudomonadati; Pseudomonadota; Gammaproteobacteria; Legionellales; Coxiellaceae. The record is from RNAcentral.